GUCAUUAGUAGUAUAAGAGUACAGUAUCAUAUUAAGAUACAGGAACAAUGGUGACU
This 56-nucleotide transfer RNA is filed under the name Longidorus vineacola. RNAcentral describes it as "tRNA-Asn". The record is from RNAcentral. Lineage: Eukaryota; Metazoa; Nematoda; Enoplea; Dorylaimida; Longidoridae.